AUAGCCAUAUCACCCUGAAUGCGCCAGAUAUCUGCUGAUCUCAGAAGCUAAGCAAGGUCAGGCCUGGUUAGUACUUGGAUGGGAGGGUGACCCCAGGAGAGGAGGCACAUCAUAUC
RNAcentral lists this ribosomal RNA (116 nucleotides) under Microcebus murinus (gray mouse lemur). The record is from RNAcentral. Lineage: Eukaryota; Metazoa; Chordata; Mammalia; Primates; Cheirogaleidae.